AUUGAACGCUGGCGGCAGGCCUAACACAUGCAAGUCGAACGGUAACAGGAAACAGCUUGCUGUUUCGCUGACGAGUGGCGGACGGGUGAGUAAUGUCUGGGAAACUGCCUGAUGGAGGGGGAUAACUACUGGAAACGGUAGCUAAUACCGCAUAACGUCGCAAGACCAAAGAGGGGGACCCUCGGGGCCUCUUGCCAUCGGAUGUGCCCAGAUGGGAUUAGCUUGUUGGUGGGGUAACGGCUCACCAAGGCGACGAUCCCUAGCUGGUCUGAGAGGAUGACCAGCCACACUGGAACUGAGACACGGUCCAGACUCCUACGGGAGGCAGCAGUGGGGAAUAUUGCACAAUGGGCGCAAGCCUGAUGCAGCCAUGCCGCGUGUAUGAAGAAGGCUCGGUUGUAAGUACUUUACUACGCGGGAGGAAGGGAAGGUAAAGGUUUAAAGUAACCGUUUUACGUACG
Molecule: ribosomal RNA, 461 nt
Filed under: uncultured bacterium
Lineage: Bacteria
Description: bacterial SSU rRNA
Rfam family: Bacterial small subunit ribosomal RNA
Source: RNAcentral